CUCACAGGGACCCCUCAGCAGGACCCCUCACAGGGACCCCUCACAGGGACUCCUCACAGGGACCCCUCAGCAGGACCCCUCACAGGGACCCCUCACAGGGACCCCUCAGCAGGACGCCCUCACCAGGACCCCUCACAGGGACCCCUCAGCAGGACCCCUCACGGGGACCCCUCAGCAGGACGCCCUCACCAGGACCCCUCACAGGGACCCCUCAGCAGGACCCCUCACAGGGACCCCUCAGCAGGACGCCCUCACCAGGACCCCUGUCUCCAGGCCCACCCACCACCCCCCCGCCAGGCUGGGGUGGGACAGAAGUGGGGAAGGGAGCAACAGGGUGGUGAGGUCACAAGGCCUAGAGAGGGGUGGCCAAGGAAUGAAGGUGGUGACCCCACUCAGCUCCACCCCCAGUAGAGACCAUGGGGCUUGGGAAACUGAGGCACAGGAAGUUUCUGGCUGUGGGGGAUCCUGGGACCCAGGGUUGGGGUUGAUUGUCUGUGGGGAGGUGCCGCCCCGCUCGACUUUCUCAGAGCCUGCUCACCUGCUGUCCCAGCCCACCCCUAGGACCCUGGAUGUCCUGGGUAGGUGCGCUUUCUUCUCAACCUUAUCAAGUGUCCUCUUGGGGCUCAGGCUCUUCCGGGAAGACUGUGACUUUGGGAAGAGAGGCUCUGGCAUCUGCCCCUGGACCUGGGCAUCGGUGGCCUGUGUCACGGGGUACAGUUCUAUGCACAGCCAUUGCCUUGGAACACCAGCUUCCGGAUGCCAAGCACCCCACCUGGCCCUGGGAGUGAGGGGGCUGGCGCCCCGUGUCUCUGCCCAGCCCAGACACUUCCUCCUUCCGGGGCUCCGUGCCCCUCCUGCCUCCCCCGCUGCUUCUGCAGACCCUCUCCCUCCUGUGUCCACGUGACGGCUGUGUCUGCUCUGCUUCGUGGCAUCUGCUGGAUUUUCCACUCUGAGUCCCGCCCACUGUGUGCCUGCUCCUGUGUGGAGCCUGUUUCUGUGCACAUCUCUGUGUGGGCUGACAUCCACGUGUAUGCUCCUCAAGUGGGACCCUGGGUGUGAGACUGUACAUGCACCUGCAGGCCGUCGAUGCAGGACUUGAGCUCCGCCAGUGCCUCUUUGGCAUUCGAGUUGAUGUCGUACUUGCCCAGGGGCCCUUCGUAGAGCUCCUCUGUGGUCCCCACCAGCAGCGUUUGCAGGAAGUCCAUGAAAAAGUCUUCAUUUUCCCCCGCUGUGGCCAGCCCUGUGUCAUAGGUGGUGUUCCCUGCUCGUAAACAUAACUGCGAAAUGCAGAAGUGACGUGUAGUGAAGUAACCUGCCCCAGAACAG
Molecule: non-coding RNA, 1326 nt
Organism: Microcebus murinus (gray mouse lemur)
Lineage: Eukaryota; Metazoa; Chordata; Mammalia; Primates; Cheirogaleidae
Source: RefSeq, a predicted model, not a curated record